Molecule: non-coding RNA, 3057 nt
Organism: Poecilia reticulata (guppy)
Lineage: Eukaryota; Metazoa; Chordata; Actinopteri; Cyprinodontiformes; Poeciliidae
Source: RefSeq, a predicted model, not a curated record
UGAUGUCUGACACACAGUGGGAAUAGUUGGGACACCGCUGACUUAUGCAAUUAAAGACAACACAGAUCACAUCCUAAAUCAGUCACAUGAAACAAAAACAAGGCUAAACAACGUCUCCCGUCUCACAAUUGAUGGAGCGUCUCACGUUUGCAGAGGAAUCAUUUAGUCAUUUAGAGUUUAAAGGAAAUGCCUCCAAACAAAAUGCUGUUGAAAAUACAUAUGUAUAAAAAGAUGAAUUUACCAACAAACAAAAAAUAAAGAAAUGUGGUUGAGAGUGAUGAGGUGAAUUUGCCUUAACUUAAGAGGAUAAUUAAUGUCUAAACAUGGCUGGAAAAAUUUUAGGCAGGAUAUUUGUGCCAACAAAUUAUGCUUAAUAACUAUUCAGUCUAUCUAUUUAUGGGAAAUGGCUUAUGGGUGUUACGUGUUCGGAAGAAAUCUGACUUUUUCCAAACAUCUGCUUAACACAGAUCCAUCCUCAUCACAGCCAGACACCUGAUGUCAUCAAACUACUUCUGUGAAACGGUAGAAUCUAUUUUUUUCCGAAGGUCUGAUGACAUCACGAUAGGCUGCUGUCCGGCUGCUCUCGGUGCCGAGACGAAACAAGAGCUGAUUGGAGCGAGAGCGUGAUGGACGGACUGAGUCGGAUACACUGUGAUGUUUAAUCUGCACUAAGGUAGAGCGGUUUAUAAUAUAUAUUAAUUCUGAACAAGGUGGCAUCAAAGAAAAUGCAAAUUAAACCAAUCAGCUUGCCUACACCUUUUUGGAGUUUUGACUUUAUGGUUUGGUCAUGUUAUCAGACGUGUGAAGGCAUUUGUAGAAAAGGGUUUUAGUAGGAGAAAAACUGGAUGUGUGGAUCAGAUGAAAUCCUCCAAUAAAGGAUACAAUGUUUCCAGUUGUGUUAAUUUUAGCCAGAAUGCAACAGUGUUGCUCUUGUGUCGCUACAGAGUUGCUACCAUGGGAUGUCAGCUGGACGCCUCAGCUUCAGGAGACUCAACAGACUCCUGAAUAGUUCAUUCUUUAUUCUGGCAUUAUUUCUUUAUUAAUGUUAUUUAGAACGCAGACGAUAUGACUGCCUCCAAGAACUAGCACUCCAUGUUCUAGAACGGUAGCCCUUAAUCAGCCAGUCUGUUGUUUCCCACCCUCAGGUGCGUCGGUUUUCCUAAUCUUUCUAUACUACGUGUUUUAGCUAAUAAACUGGGACUUUUCUCAGCAAUAUUUUCUUGAUUUUUCUCAAACAAGUAAAGGGAGUAUUGAAACGCAGCCCAGUUUGUUCGUCUGCGGAGGCCAUUGUUCUCUGUGCCGGUGGUUUCCUGUCUGUUGGCGAACGCUCAGCUCACUGUUUCAGAGAAGAGCGAGACGUCGCAGCUGCUGCCAUGCAGUCGGCUUUGGUCACAACAGUUAGCAUCCUAAAAGUAAAAUAAUCUCAGGAUGAAUUAUAUGUAUUUUGUUCAUGCCUACAUAUUUUUGAUUCAGAUGACACAGAGCCUUACAGAACUGUGAAAACAGUAUGUGCCAACUUCUUCUGUUUUGCUUUUUGUCAUUACAUGUUCCAGACUUAUGUUUUUUUUUACGUCAGUAAACUCAAAAUGUGUGUUAUUUAAAUGUCCAUCUUAUUUGUUGAGGGGAAAAAUAACUAACAUGACACCAUAUUUAUUUAAAAGUUAGUACCUCUUAACCCAAGUGCUGCUUCUGCCACACUUGGGAGCAAAUCUGCUAUCAAACGAUGUCAGUCUUUGCGAUAACCGGCAGCAAGUCUACUGGAUUGUUUUCGUUCAGUUGUAGAUAAUGCAAGUCCUUUUUUGAUUCCAUUUCAAAACAUGUGAAUCAGAUUUAAAUCCUGUACUUUGACUAGGCCACUCAAAAUGCAUCAAAAUGAUUUUUGAGAGGAUCAUCGUCCUGCUGCAUAACCCACGUUUGGUUGACGUUGAACUUUCUUCUUCAGGAUUUUCUACUCCAGGAUUCAUGUUUUCAUCACUUUGAACCGGUGCUGAGGUCCAGAAGCAGCGGAGAAAGCCCAGAUCAUCAUACUAACACCACUGUGUUUGACAAAACACGGACUGGGACUCUGGGAACCGAGUCAGCUGAGGAGAGAAGAGAGCAUGGCUGGAGUAGUUGGAGUAGUCGUUGUAAGGGUAAUGGGGACAGUCCGGGUCGAAAUCCCGGUGGUUGUAGUUCGCUACAUUUUUGCUGUUCAUGGCCCAGAAGAGUCCCAGGAUGAGCAUGACCACCCCCAGCACCACACAGCACAGCGAGAAAGCCUGCAGGCGGCUCUGGUAGGAGGCCAGGAAGGCUGUGGAGCCCCCGGUCACAAUGAGGAAGGCUCCGACGAAGAUUGCUCCGUGGUGCAGGGAAGGCAUCUCCCCGCAGGACUGCAACCUGUCUCUGAGCUCUCUGCUUGGCUGGGGCCGGCUGGACGGUGUCAUUCACAUGUAAACAGUAGCACAGAGCGCGGUCCCCCUGUGCACUCUGACAAAGACCAGAGAUCCGAGCGAUUUACAAGAAACCCCGACGAGACGAGUCCUUCUAAAUCUCACUGUUUGGUCUCCAUCACUUCCAUCUCCAUUAGUGCUGAAACACUGCCGGUCAUUUUUAGUCCAUGUGUUUAUUCUCCCACUUCUGUUCCAAAUUGUUGGUCUGUUGCAAAACUUGGGGGGGGGAACAAAAAUAAAAGAAGAAUGAAAACGUUGAACGCUUUGAUGCGCAUCAGGCUAAUGUUGAGCAGCUGUGUGUUUAUCAUCAAGCCAGAUGGACAAGAGGACGGCAGAGCCCAUUAAGAAAUCUUUACUGGCGCCCCACCCUCCCUCUAAUGUGUCCGAAGGGUACCACUUUAGCCUGCGUGUGUGUCUGCAAGAGGGGAUGAGAGACAGGAAGAGGGACAGAGAGUGAAAGAGUGCAGGUCGAAGCUAUUUUUCUGAGCACAAAUGGACGUAAUAUAGAGGACAAUUGGAUGUAUUCUUCAGCAAUGUGUGUCAUGAAGCGCCAUGACUCUGAACCCUGAUUAAGUUUGAGAAAUUUACAAAGUGCAUCCAGUCUUAAAUAAAGAGAAAAUAAGUCCCA